GUUCCAGACUCCUACGGGAGGCAGCAGUCGGGAAUAUUGCGCAAUGGAGGAAACUCUGACGCAGUGACGCCGCGUGCAGGAAGAAGGUUUUCGGAUUGUAAACUGCUUUAGACAGGGAAGAAAAAAGACAGUACCUGUAGAAUAAGCUCCGGCUAACUACGUGCCAGCAGCCGCGGUAAUACGUAGGGAGCAAGCGUUAUCCGGAUUUAUUGGGUGUAAAGGGUGCGUAGACGGGAAUGCAAGUUGGUUGUGAAAUCGCUCGGCUUAACUGAGGAACUGCAACCAAAACUGCAUUUUUUGAGUGCUGGAGAGGAAAGUGGAAUUCCUAGUGUAGCGGUGAAAUGCGUAGAUAUUAGGAGGAACACCAGUGGCGAAGGCGACUUUCUGGACAGUAACUGACGUUGAGGCACGAAAGUGUGGGGAGCAAACAGGAUUAGAUACCCUAGUA
This 448-nucleotide ribosomal RNA is filed under the name uncultured bacterium. Its description in RNAcentral is "bacterial SSU rRNA". It matches the Rfam family "Bacterial small subunit ribosomal RNA", at positions 328 to 792 of the family's 1533-position model. The record is from RNAcentral.